GUGAAUCAUCGAAUUUUUGAACGCAAAUUGCACUCUCCUCGGAGAGUAUGCCUGUUUGAGGGUCAGCCUAUAAAAAAUCGACAUCGUUGCUGUUUCGCGGUGGCGUUCGUCGGAAAUUGGGUCAUCUUAAAUCCUUUUGGUUUUUAAGCGACUUAAAAUUUUCUUUUUGGUUCCAUGAACGUUUCUAAGAUUUAUUUCUUUACACGUUUAAGGUAUCGAUUUUUAUUAGACGUGACCGUUGCAUCGGAUCGCGUCCAUAAAUAUUUCGUUAACUGACCUCAUACAGGUAAGAGUACCCG
Molecule: unclassified non-coding RNA, 299 nt
Filed under: Glomus sp.
Lineage: Eukaryota; Fungi; Glomeromycota; Glomeromycetes; Glomerales; Glomeraceae
Description: partial contains 5.8S ribosomal RNA and internal transcribed spacer 2
Rfam family: 5.8S ribosomal RNA (bases 1-65)
Source: RNAcentral